UACUAAAGUUGUUGCGGUUAAAAAGCUCGUAGUUGAAAUUGUGUCCUGCGGUGUCGGUCUACCGAAUGCGGUACGACAGGCACGUCUGCGGGGCUUCUCGCCGGUGCGUCCACCGCCGGUGUGUGUCGGUCGUUCCAACGGUUCGGCCGCGCGCCGAGGCGGGCCGUCGCGGCUGUUUACUUUGAACAAAUUAGAGUGCUCAAAGCGGGCUAACACUUGCCUGAAUAUUGUACGCAUGGAAUAAUAGAAUAGGACCUCGGUUCUGUUUUGUUGGCUUUCUGAUACCAGAGGUAAUGAUUAAUAGGGACAACUGGGGGCAUUCGUAUUGCGACGUUAGAGGUGAAAUUCUUGGAUCGUCGCAAGACGGACUAAAGCGAAAGCAUUUGCCAAAGGUGUUUUCAUUAAUCAAGAACGAAAGUUAGAGGUUCGAAGGCGAUUAGAUACCGCUGUAGUUCUAACCAUAAAUGAUGCCAGCCAGCGAUCCGCCGAAGUUUCAUAAUUUUAACCCGGUGGGCAGCUCCCGGGAAACCAAAGCUUUC
RNAcentral lists this ribosomal RNA (539 nucleotides) under Lepidostoma togatum. Its description in RNAcentral is "SSU rRNA". It matches the Rfam family "Eukaryotic small subunit ribosomal RNA", at positions 602 to 1108 of the family's 1831-position model. The record is from RNAcentral. Lineage: Eukaryota; Metazoa; Arthropoda; Insecta; Trichoptera; Lepidostomatidae.